Molecule: ribosomal RNA, 253 nt
Filed under: uncultured bacterium
Lineage: Bacteria
Description: partial 16S ribosomal RNA
Rfam family: Bacterial small subunit ribosomal RNA
Source: RNAcentral
UACGAAGGGGGCUAGCGUUGUUCGGAAUCACUGGGCGUAAAGCGCACGUAGGCGGAUUUGUAAGUCAGGGGUGAAAUCCCGGGGCUCAACCUCGGAACUGCCUUUGAUGCUGCAAGUCUCGAGUCCGAGAGAGGUGAGUGGAAUUCCUAGUGUAGAGGUGAAAUUCGUAGAUAUUAGGAAGAACACCAGUGGCGAAGGCGGCUCACUGGCUCGGUACUGACGCUGAGGUGCGAAAGCGUGGGGAGCAAACAGG